AAGCGAAACCAGACGGUGCAAGCCGUUUGGUCUGCCAGGCGUGGUUGCCUGGUACUGAUGAGCAGCCGGAG
This 71-nucleotide non-coding RNA is filed under the name Cognatundibacterium rivi. Lineage: Bacteria; Pseudomonadati; Pseudomonadota; Betaproteobacteria; Burkholderiales; Oxalobacteraceae. The record is from RNAcentral.